Molecule: unclassified non-coding RNA, 277 nt
Filed under: Hevea brasiliensis (rubber tree)
Lineage: Eukaryota; Viridiplantae; Streptophyta; Magnoliopsida; Malpighiales; Euphorbiaceae
Source: RNAcentral
UCAGCGUUUGAGAGAAUGCCUGGCCAUACGGUAUAUUCACACUUAUUUGUUAUCGUAAAGGUAGUUGAAACAACGCCCGAUAUGAAUGAAUGCGCGAUAAAGAGAAAACACAGACGAAUGAGCAAUGUUAGUUGAGCCAUUGAAGCACAGGACAGAAAGCUUAAGAAAAUUUUUAUAUAUUAUUAAGGGAGAAGAAGCAAAAGCCUAAACUCUUCUUCUGCCCUGGCUAAAUUGGAGAGGCCACUGUGAGAAAUCCGAACGUAGGGGCGGAUUGGCU